RNAcentral lists this ribosomal RNA (482 nucleotides) under uncultured bacterium. RNAcentral describes it as "partial 16S ribosomal RNA". It matches the Rfam family "Bacterial small subunit ribosomal RNA", at positions 30 to 507 of the family's 1533-position model. The record is from RNAcentral.
AUUGAACGCUGGCGGCAUGCUUUACACAUGCAAGUCGAACGGUAACAGCACUUCGGUGGCUGACGAGUGGCGAACGGGUGAGUAAUACAUCGGAACGUGCCUAGUAGUGGGGGAUAACUACUCGAAAGAGUAGCUAAUACCGCAUGAGAUCUAAGGAUGAAAGCAGGGGACCUUCGGGCCUUGCGCUACUAUUGCGGUCGAUGGCAGAUGAGGUAGUUGGUGGGAUAAAAGCUUACCAAGCCGACGAUCUGUAGCUGGUCUGAGAGGACGACCAGCCACACUGGGACUGAGACACGGCCCAGACUCCUACGGGAGGCAGCAGUGGGGAAUUUUGGACAAUGGGCGCAAGCCUGAUCCAGCAAUGCCGCGUGCAGGAUGAAGGCCUUCGGGUUGUAAACUGCUUUUGUACGGAACGAAAAGCCCUCUUCUAAUACAGGAGGGUCAUGACGGUACCGUAAGAAUAAGCACCGGCUAACUACGUG